RNAcentral lists this ribosomal RNA (497 nucleotides) under uncultured bacterium. RNAcentral's name for it is "partial 16S ribosomal RNA". It matches the Rfam family "Bacterial small subunit ribosomal RNA", at positions 28 to 507 of the family's 1533-position model. The record is from RNAcentral.
GAUGAACGCUGGCGGCGUGCCUAAUACAUGCAAGUCGAGCGAACGGACGAGAAGCUUGCUUCUCUGAUGUUAGCGGCGGACGGGUGAGUAACACGUGGAUAACCUACCUAUAAGACUGGGAUAACUUCGGGAAACCGUAGCUAAUACCGGAUAAUAUUUUGAACCGCAUGGUUCAAAAGUGAAAGACGGUCUUGCUGUCACUUAUAGAUGGAUCCGCGCUGCAUUAGCUAGUUGGUAAGGUAACGGCUUACCAAGGCAACGAUGCAUAGCCGACCUGAGAGGGUGAUAGGCCACACUGGAACUGAGACACGGUCCAGACUCCUACGGGAGGCAGCAGUAGGGAAUCUUCCGCAAUGGGCGAAAGCCUGACGGAGCAACGCCGCGUGAGUGAUGAAGGUCUUCGGAUCGUAAAACUCUGUUAUUAGGGAAGAACAUAUGUGUAAGUAACUGUGCACAUCUUGACGGUACCUAAUCAGAAAGCCACGGCCAACUACGUG